UUAGCAUAUUGAAGUCUAGCUCAGAAAAGUGUUCCUCCCUAAAACACGCAUUUUGUUAAAAGCUGUUCAGUGCCCAUAGCCACUCUGCUGAUCUCGAAAUAUGUUCCCCUCGCAGGGCAGAGCUAACCUGUGCAUAUGGAAUGAGCUCCGCUUAAUGUUGUGUUAAAAGAGUUUGGUCUCUGGAGCAGUCGCUCGUCUUAAUAACACGUAAUCAUAUCCCAUCUAUUUAGUUUUCAUUUAACUUGCCCCAUGCAAGUAAUGAAUCCAGUUUAAUUAAAUGUUCCUUUAAACAGUGAAAUGACACUGGUUUGUAGUUUAAAAAAUCUAUACGCCACAGGGCACCCUCAAGACACAAAAUCCUAAUAAAGAGGAUGUAAGACGUACAGCUAAUAAUACAGAGCAAGUUUGACAUUUGCAGGGUAAUUUAGUGAAACAAGUGCUUCCUUACAGGCUUCGUGCAGGAUCACGGUGGCUGCAGCACCGCUUAUUAGAAGAUGAAGAGCCCUGUUUGUAAUAACGCUAAUAAACAACUCAUCUGAAAAUGAGGACAGCGUAAGGGAGAAGAGAAAAGCGAGGCAGAAAUGAGUGGGAAAUGUUCGUUUUUCUCUGUUAGAAAAAUCAGGAACUUUAAUAAGGUGGAAACAAACGAUACUGCUGCUCCUUGACUUGCCUCUCCCAGCACCUACUGAAGCUGUGCUCGUGCAUUCUCUCAGAGAAAAGCCUCCAGGUGACAUUUUGUGCUCCUGACCUACACCUACUUCCAACUGGAAAUGGGAGGAAAGUCCUUCCAGAGAGCCAGCAUGGGGCAGUUCAAUGUAUACUUAUUUGUAUAAUAGUCUCUUUCCCAAAACAAUGAGCAUAAGAGCAUUUCUGCUGAGGUAAAAAUGCUGUAGAGCAAACAAUGCAG
Long non-coding RNA from Gallus gallus (chicken), 907 nucleotides. Lineage: Eukaryota; Metazoa; Chordata; Aves; Galliformes; Phasianidae. The record is from Ensembl.